This 492-nucleotide ribosomal RNA is filed under the name uncultured bacterium. RNAcentral describes it as "partial 16S ribosomal RNA". It matches the Rfam family "Bacterial small subunit ribosomal RNA", at positions 29 to 507 of the family's 1533-position model. The record is from RNAcentral.
AGUGAACGCUGGCGGUAGGCCUAACACAUGCAAGUCGAACGGCAGCACAGUAAGAGCUUGCUCUUACGGGUGGCGAGUGGCGGACGGGUGAGGAAUACAUCGGAAUCUACUUUUUCGUGGGGGAUAACGUAGGGAAACUUACGCUAAUACCGCAUACGACCUACGGGUGAAAGCAUGGGAUCUUCGGACCUUGCGCGAUUGAAUGAGCCGAUGUCGGAUUAGCUAGUUGGCGGGGUAAAGGCCCACCAAGGCGACGAUCCGUAGCUGGUCUGAGAGGAGGAUCAGCCACACUGGAGCGGAGACACGGUCCAGACUCCUACGGGAGGCAGCAGUGGGGAAUAUUGGACAAUGGGCGCAAGCCUGAUCCAGCCAUACCGCGUGGGUGAAGGAGGCCUUCGGGGUGUAAAGCCCUUUUGUUGGGAAAGAAAAGCAGCAGGUUAAUACCCAGCUGUUCUGACGGUACCCAAAGAAUAAGCACCGGCUAACUUCGUG